UUGACACUCCACAGCAGGAAAUGCACAGGUGUAACUAAUUAUAUUAAUUAUGGCUCAGUUCCAUU
Long non-coding RNA from Etheostoma cragini (Arkansas darter), 65 nucleotides. RefSeq lists it as uncharacterized. The transcript has 3 exons. The record is from RefSeq and is a predicted model, not a curated record. NCBI's taxonomy places the organism in Eukaryota, Metazoa, Chordata, Actinopteri, Perciformes, Percidae.